Long non-coding RNA from Pteropus alecto (black flying fox), 242 nucleotides. RefSeq lists it as uncharacterized. The transcript has 2 exons. The record is from RefSeq and is a predicted model, not a curated record. Lineage: Eukaryota; Metazoa; Chordata; Mammalia; Chiroptera; Pteropodidae.
CCGGUAGGAGGAGGGAGGCGGCGGAGGCCGCGGGCCGGGGUGUCUGGCGCUCGUUGGACAAAGAGAUGAUGAAACGAAACACAGCCCAUCUGACUCACCGGGAGGGCCGCGCCGACCCCCUCGCAGGGUUAGCCCAGAGGCAGACGAAGAGCUGAAGAGCGAGGGUGCCCCCCAGACGCACCUAACUUGGGCGCUACGGCUGGGGGAUGAGUUGGCUGUCAAUAAAGGCACCUUAGCUCCAA